RNAcentral lists this long non-coding RNA (2177 nucleotides) under Homo sapiens (human). RNAcentral's name for it is "non-protein coding lnc-AGBL1-5:1". The record is from RNAcentral. Lineage: Eukaryota; Metazoa; Chordata; Mammalia; Primates; Hominidae.
GCGAGUUACAGGGAUCAGAAAAACAGGGUAAUGAUGACCAAGUGCACGUGUCUGUAAUGUUUUCUUAUUCCCUGGUAACCUUAUGACAUAGUUCUAAUUCAACCACAAAUAUAACAGAGGAGCACCUGCAAUAUAGAGCUCAGCUCAAUGUGGGCACGUGAUCCUGAGGUUGUUAUUCUUAAAACCGUCAUUGUCAAGAAAUAUUUAAAAUGUAGUCAGUGGUAUGCUGAUAAAUGUAUAACAAUUGACUUUCCUUGGGGAGAGCCCUGACUUGCGUAGCUGGUUCCUAUGGUGUGGAUACUUUCAUCAUGUCUAAUUUCCAACUGCCUAUGUGAAGGCACUGAACCAUAGCCUUCAGAAGGAAUCAAUCCUCCUGACACCUUGAUCUUUAAACUUUUAGCCUCCAAAACUGAGACAAUAUAUUUCUGUUCUUUAACCCAGAAAAAAAAUGAACAGACAACGAAGGUCUGCAAAUGCAUAAUUUAUAUAAAACUCUAGGAAACUCAGACUAAUCUAUAGGGCAGAGGCUGCAGUGACCCGAGAUCGCACCACUGCACUCCAGCCUGGGUGAUAGAGCAAGACUCCGUCUCAAAACAAAGAAGAAAGACAGAUUCAAACCUGGCCUGAGUAGAAGUUUUUGGCCUGGAUUUUAAUCAACACAACCAUUGUUUUCAAGUCAAGGCCAAAUUCUUGUGACACAUAAUACAAAAUUUAUGAACUUACUGAAACUGAUUUAUAGCACUGGACUUGUGGUCUUUCUAUUUGACCAACACUGCUGGGACCCUUGCCAGAUGCAGAAGCAGCCACCAUCCCAAUUAGCUUAAUCUGAAGGGACAUGUACUUGCAUUUAUUUAUAAUUUGUAUUAAUUUGACAGGAGCUGUAAGCUUUGUGUAAUUCCUAGAAUAUAGUGAAAUUUUUACUUGUAACCGACACACAGAAAUGCUCCUAAUUUUCAAACCCUGGAUAAGAAUGAAUAGGUUAAAAGUCAUUCUCUCUGGCCUGGUAAAUUUGAAAAAUAAACCUUCAAGGUUGGGGUUUUAAAUCUUUACGUUUUGCCCCUUGUGAAAAUGGACAGUGGGACUUUUACUUUUCGAAAGAAAGCUGGUCCCAAUGGGAAGUGUUUGAGUUUAGGAUGUGUUAGCAGGAAGGAUUUUUCAGCAGGGCUUACCUCGUGCAAUAUAAACCUGUUAAUCUUUUUGAUCCCUAGUAUGGAUUAGACCAGACUUCAUAUACCCUGGUGUGUCGGUUUGGAUGUUGUGGGAUGGUGUAACUGCAUUUCACCAUGCAAGAGAACAAUGAGUUUGCACCUUCCAAAGCCCAAGCUGCCUACAGAGCUGCUAAAACUGUUUGGCUCACUGCUCCUUUCUCUUCCCCACCCUACAUCUUUCAGGAGGCUGUACUUGUCUUCGCCUAUGAGAUCCGCUUUGCAUAUGUACUGAGAAAUGUGUGGGUCCUGGGCCAGAAAUAUGUGAAGAAUCCAGCCUUUGGGCUUCAGAAAGUCCGCAGCUCAUACUCUAGCCCUUUCUUGCCUCUAUACCUCAAGCUCAUUAUUGGCUUCUCACUGCCCCUGCCCUGACCAUUGUGUCUCCUUUGCAUUCCUGAUUCUCUUUGGGUAUCCUACCAGGCCCUGAAUCUGCCUAACUGCCUGGACGGACUUGCCUUCCUAUUGCCCCACUUCCCACUUCCUCAGCCUAAGCUCAUCAGUCUUAUAUUAGCCCCUGACCAGCUUUAUGGAACUUCCGGGCUUGCAGUAGAAUGGAGACUUUGGCUGCGUUUAGCUCUGUUUUACGAACCUGCCAAAACAAAUAUUGGUUGAAUGAACGAACGUAUGAUUGAACGAAUGCCCCCUCCUCUGAUGAUUCCCCUUACCUGCGCCUGUAUGUCCAAUUCCAGAUGUCGCUUCGGGGCCUGGGAAACUUGCCCAUUCAGAGUGAGGUGGGCGCUGGAUGACUGCUGAGUCUGCUCUCUCCAUGUGGUGAGAACUUUGAAACUUUGCUCAUCUGUGUUUCCUAUAUCAUGGAAGCAUGAGCUUCCAAAUGCAGCCUUGGAGAAAUGAGAAACUACUUUUUUUUUUUUUUUUUUUGGUUGGCAGCAAGACCUUUCUUCUCCCUGAACCCCAGGAAAAGAAGGAUUUAAUGUUUCUUAACUUCAUAAAUCUGGCCUCAUUCUACUUGAA